UUUUGGAAGAUUUCCUUUUGUCAUCCAUGUGCUUUUAGCUUCUCAAACUGAGCUGUGCCAAUCCCCAAAUCUGCUUGAGCUGCAUCCUGCCAUCUGGUGUGGCCUCCCUUUUCCUUAGAAAACAAUCUGCAGUUGUCUUCCUGUCUAUCUUCCCAUAAAGGCCAUUUUAAGAGUGUUUUCUGGGCACCUUUGUCUUCCCCGACCCUGGAGCACAUCAUUCAGAAGAGGCUCGGUGGCAUCUGCCCAUCAGAGAAGCUGAUAGAAGACGACUCCCAAGAUGUGGAAACCACAGACAUAGAGGAAAGACCAGGAAGCCUCCUGAAGAAAUGGACAGGAAUCACACCUUGGAUUCAGUUCCCCGGAGUCCCCUGAGCUCCAGGCACAGUACCUGACACCGGACAAGGGUGGUCUCUCAUCCCUGGAUGCCCAGGCGGGGGAUAUGUUACCACGGAGACGCCCAAGGACAAGUUGCUGCAAUCCCUAGUCAGGCGGUUACAUAAGCAGUCCCCCUUGCCAACUGUCACCAAGGCCACCUGGAAAAUCAAGACUUACGCAAACCAGCAAUGGCUUGCCAGAGGUGCGACACCCUCGUGUGCUUGUUCCUGGCUGCUCGGGAGCUACGAUCAAGCCCUCUUCUUACUACCAGCCCCGGAUUUGUCCAAAGCUGGAACAACAACAACUAUGUGUAUUUUCUGCAGACUUAAUGCCAGGCUCCUGCUUCCUCAUCUGCAAAACGAGGGGAUCACAGGAGACAAGCACCAGGACCCUUCUAGCUCUGAGCUGACACGACUGUUCCCCUGUGGUUUGGCCUGGAGCCUUCUCUUGCCUCCCGUCUGUCUCAUGCAUCCUGGCACGGCCCUCGGCACAAAGCUGGUGCCCAAAACAUAGCGCAUGGACAGGCCACGGCUGUUUCCUGACUACUCCCAGGAUCGCACAGUUUGUUUGAGCCAAAGACCUGGCAGGAAAUGUCCAUGGCUCACAGAACCACAUUUUCAAAGUCACAUUGUAAGUAGAGGAUGAAGGACAAGGGGACGAAUCCUGUUCCCUCUCAAUGCUUCUUCGAAGCGUUUUUCAGCUUGGAACUUGUUGCAGUCUGUAGUUUGAGGGUGUUCCAAAUGUCUGUAAUUACAGACUAUCUCCUUCCCUGCCAGGAGGUCUGGAAGCCCAGCCACAGGACCAGACUGUGAAGACCAGCCACACAUCUUAUCCUCCUCAGCAUUCCAGCUGCAGGAUAAUUUUUAACUAUACUUUUGCAACUGGGGUUAGUAACCAAGAGACAAAAGACUGAGCAAAUCCAACGAGGGAAACAAAGUAACCUCUAGAAAAAAAGAAGAAAAAAGAAAGAAGGAAGAGCGAGGAAAACCCAGGAAGGCCAUCAUGAGAAAAAGGACAUUUUUUUAAAAAAAGGAUUAACAGACGGGGUUAAAGUUGAGGCCAUGCAGAAGCAGUUGGCUGAUAGGGGAAAAAAACAAACCAAAAAAAACAAAUAAAACCCCCCUUGGCUAACAAAUAAUUAGAGAAUGACUUAGUAAAGAGGUUGGAAAGAAUAGGGUAUCAGAAGAGUAAUGACCAUUUUAUUUAUUUUAUUUAUUUUUUUUUUAAGAUUUUAUUUAUUUAUUUGACAGAGAC
Non-coding RNA from Leptonychotes weddellii (Weddell seal), 1629 nucleotides. NCBI's taxonomy places the organism in Eukaryota, Metazoa, Chordata, Mammalia, Carnivora, Phocidae. The record is from RefSeq and is a predicted model, not a curated record.